RNAcentral lists this unclassified non-coding RNA (650 nucleotides) under Hevea brasiliensis (rubber tree). The record is from RNAcentral. Lineage: Eukaryota; Viridiplantae; Streptophyta; Magnoliopsida; Malpighiales; Euphorbiaceae.
GCCAGGUGGUGAGAUAACAGCAGGUUUGUACUCAAAACUUUUGAAUGUUAAGAUCUAAGCAACAUUCAAGCUAUGUCCUAUUUGGACACUGAAGUGGUAUGACAUGCUUCAUCUGCUAAGAAACUGGUGCACAAACACAUGUUAAUGUAAUUUGCUUGCUUGACUUUUCUCUUUUGUUAUUAAUGAGUACUCCAUUUUGGUUUUUAUGUUCUUGUGUUAGCGUUUGCAUUAGUUGCAAAGUUAAUGUAUUCUAGUGGCUGUUCUGGAUUUCUGAUUGAUAUGAAAUAUUCCCACAUGAAAAUGUGCACAAACAUAUGUGAACGGGCAAUCUGAGGAGAGUUGUUUAAUUUUUUUUUCUUUCCUUUCUUCUCCCCCUUUUCAGUAGAGGUGGAGAGAACUGUUUUUCUAAAUUUAUUUUAUGGCGUUCUUUUUCUUUUGGGUGCAUUUUGUUAAUUGGUAUAUGUCUGCAACUUUUGAUGAUUCUAUGGAUUGACACCAGAUGACUGGAGCCCUAGUGGAAGUGCCUUUUAUUCAUAUCUUAUUCCUUCUCAAAAUGUAAAUUUUCUUUAUGAAUGUGCUUUUGACAACAUAAUAGGUUAUGCAAUACAACUGCUGCUAAUUGAUUUUAUUCUGCAUCUGCAGGAUUUUUA